This 306-nucleotide ribosomal RNA is filed under the name uncultured bacterium. Its description in RNAcentral is "bacterial SSU rRNA". It matches the Rfam family "Bacterial small subunit ribosomal RNA", at positions 28 to 335 of the family's 1533-position model. The record is from RNAcentral.
GAUGAACGCUGGCGGCAUGCCUUACACAUGCAAGUCGAACGGCAGCACGGGAGCAAUCCUGGUGGCGAGUGGCGAACGGGUGAGUAAUAUAUCGGAACGUGCCCGGUCGUGGGGGAUAACGUAGCGAAAGCUACGCUAAUACCGCAUACGAUCUACGGAUGAAAGCGGGGGGAUCGCAAGACCUCGCGCGAUUGGAGCGGCCGAUAUCAGAUUAGGUAGUUGUGAGGUAAAGGCUCACCAAGCCCGACGAUCUGUAGCUGGUCUGAGAGGACGACCAGCCACACUGGGACUGAGACACGGCCCAGA